Molecule: ribosomal RNA, 254 nt
Filed under: Pachyphlodes citrina
Lineage: Eukaryota; Fungi; Ascomycota; Pezizomycetes; Pezizales; Pezizaceae
Description: Pachyphlodes citrinus partial 28S ribosomal RNA
Rfam family: Eukaryotic large subunit ribosomal RNA
Source: RNAcentral
AUUGCCUUAGUAACGGCGAGUGAAGCGGCAAAAGCUCAGAUUUGAAAUCUGGUGUCAAAUUGAUACCCGAGUUGUAAUCUGUAGAGGAGUUUUUCGGAGUAUGGCUUUGGUUAAAGUUCCUUGGAAAAGGGCAUCAUAGAGGGUGAGAAUCCUGUUUGUGACCUUAUCUAUCUCCAUUAUGAAUCUCCUUCAAUGAGUCGAGUUGUUUGGGAAUGCAGCUCUAAAUGGGUGGUAAAUUCCAUCUAAAGCUAAAU